AAGUCGUAACAAGGUAACCGUAGGUGAACCUGCGGAUGGAUCAUUAUUGUAAUGAAUGCUAUUGGUGAGUUGAUCUCCCUUGGGGAGAACCUCGCCAAUGGUAUAACAACCUUUGUGAACCAUAAUGUACUCUGGGUCGAUGCUAACCCGCUUGGGAAAGUAUUCGACCCGCACUAAGAAUCAACAAUUUAAACUUGACAUAAUAUUUUUUAAGUAAAAUUAAAACAACUUUAGACAACGGCUCUUGGCUCUC
Molecule: unclassified non-coding RNA, 253 nt
Filed under: fungal sp.
Lineage: Eukaryota; Fungi
Description: partial internal transcribed spacer region
Rfam family: Eukaryotic small subunit ribosomal RNA (bases 1-46)
Source: RNAcentral